AAAUAGGCAAUACUUGUGACACUAGUCCUCAUCUUUGCACAACGCCUGAUCUGUCCCUCAGGGCAUGGGAGAUCGAUGGCGUGUCAACUGCAAGCAAACCAAAAGAAAAACUCAUAAAAGUAGCCAUUGUUGAGUAGUGAAGAACCAGGGGAAAAGCCAGGAGAGACCUCAGGGACGAUAGAGGAAAGGGAAACCGAGGAUAAAAGGAAGCAUGUGGGGAGGGAAGCUUCCAAGGCCUAGGAUUCUACGUUUCUCAAAGUAAAUAUGCUGGUCCAUCACCACGUCCACUCUUAAGGGACAAGGGUCCAAUGCCAUGAGACCCAAUUCAACAUCAUCGUCAUUCUCUCAUGUGCGUCU
This 357-nucleotide long non-coding RNA is filed under the name Populus tremula. RNAcentral describes it as "long non-coding RNA (PTRE_LNC002285)". The record is from RNAcentral. Lineage: Eukaryota; Viridiplantae; Streptophyta; Magnoliopsida; Malpighiales; Salicaceae.